UGGGGAAUAUUGGACAAUGGGGGCAACCCUGAUCCAGCAAUGCCGCGUGUGUGAAGAAGGUCUUCGGAUUGUAAAGCACUUUCGACGGGGACGAUGAUGACGGUACCCGUAGAAGAAGCCCCGGCUAACUUCGUGCCAGCAGCCGCGGUAAUACGAAGGGGGCUAGCGUUGCUCGGAAUGACUGGGCGUAAAGGGCGUGUAGGCGGUUUACACAGUCAGAUGUGAAAUCCCCGGGCUUAACCUGGGAGCUGCAUUUGAUACGUGUAGACUAGAGUGUGAGAGAGGGUUGUGGAAUUCCCAGUGUAGAGGUGAAAUUCGUAGAUAUUGGGAAGAACGCCGGUGGCGAAGGCGGC
This 353-nucleotide ribosomal RNA is filed under the name uncultured bacterium. RNAcentral describes it as "partial 16S ribosomal RNA". It matches the Rfam family "Bacterial small subunit ribosomal RNA", at positions 355 to 725 of the family's 1533-position model. The record is from RNAcentral.